This 327-nucleotide long non-coding RNA is filed under the name Callithrix jacchus (white-tufted-ear marmoset). RNAcentral describes it as "lncRNA (ENSCJAG00000067516.2)". The record is from RNAcentral. Lineage: Eukaryota; Metazoa; Chordata; Mammalia; Primates; Cebidae.
UAUUAGCUUUAUUACUAUAAAUACUAAUGAUUCCUGAAUAGGCUUUUUGUCUUUAACUUGAGACUCCUUCCUUCAUAACAGCUAUAUGACAACAGAGCAAGCUCUGAGGAGUGAGAUUUGAGAGCCUAGAGAAAAAAAAAAUCAAUAAAACUAAUUUGAGAACUCAUCUGAAACAAAGAAUUGUAUUCUCCAGAGACAUGAAUGGAAGAAAAGAGAAAGAGAGAGAGAGAAGAAAGUUGCCCGUGCUUCAUUCAUUUGUAAGCAUUUAUUGAGUACUUUUUAUCUUAUUAUUUUUAAACUUUUAGUGAAAAGGGGUGUAUGUGCAAG